Molecule: long non-coding RNA, 1592 nt
Organism: Drosophila miranda
Lineage: Eukaryota; Metazoa; Arthropoda; Insecta; Diptera; Drosophilidae
Exons: 6
Source: RefSeq, a predicted model, not a curated record
UACUUAAACGUCAUAGCAUAGAAGGCACAUUCAGGCCCAGAAACACACAGUCAAAAUUCUAGUUCCGUUCGAAACGGACGUGUAAAAAAUCAGAUCCCAGGAAAAAAAAAAAAAAAAAUUUGUAAUUUUGUACCACGCACUGACCCUGCACCGUCGAGGGAUGUCCCAAAUGCGCAGAGGACCUCGAUGGAUGCCUUGCGGAUGACCUCCUGGAAGUCAUCAAAACCGUCGAACAGCGAGUUCCUUCAAGAUUAAUGAAGCCUCCUCCUUUUCGACGACAAAGUCGUUCUCCAUAUGCAACUCAUCCGAAUCCCUAUUGCCAUCGGCCUCAUCAUGAUUCUUGUUGACAUUGUCAUAUUUUGUGGAUGCCACCAUUUGAAGCAUGCGUUCGGUAAUCUUCAUGGAACGCGGGGGCCAUAUUCUCAGUCACAACGAACGACAGUCCGCCCGUUUCAGGUCUGGAUCAGCUGGUCCCAGCGUUGCACUCAAACAGACUGAGAACAAACCCACUGACAAAUGUGGCACAAGUCCAUCCCCAAGGCUCUCACAGACAACUUCCAGAGCAGAAGAUGCGGUUCAUGCAGUUGGCGAUCGAGGUCAGUGUAUCGAUGCACUCCAUACUACUCCACCGAACGCACAAACAGAACUGCAAUGGUGUCUUAUGGAAACAUGUUCGAUUCUUGACAGCUCUCACUCAGCCGGCCUUGAGUGUUCCUUCGGCAGUUGCCACCAGCAGCUUCUCUUGCCACAGAUCUUCCAUGGGUUUCAUCUUCACCGCUGGCAUUUACGGGGAUUAGUUGAGCUCGUCCUCGUCCUUUGCCCAGGGAGUCGCUUAGCAGCCAGCAGAUCCGGCGAGUGGAUCCGGCGAGAGCGAGGAGGAAGCUAACAAGAAGUGGGAGCGAAGGCUGACGGAUCGUCGGUACAAGUGCAGCCCUGUCCGGCAUCUCAACGGUGGCCAUCGCAUCGAAAACGAGUGCGCCGAGUCUGGCUUCGAUCGCACAAGAUACGAUGUAGUUUUGUAUGACUUUGAUCCUGACCUGAAACGGGCCUGCCGAUCGUUGUCUGCGAAUGUGGUCACUGCGUUCCACUAGAUUUUCGAACGCUUGCUUCAGACAGUUGCAUCCACAGAGCAUGGCAAUGACAACGAGAUUGAUGGUGACGACGAUGACGAUAACGGUACAAAUGAGUUGCAGGUGGAGACCGACUGUGCCUUUGAGGAGGAAAAGGCCACAUAAGCCUUGAAGGAACUCGCUGUGGGUUCAAGCAAGCUCUUCGCACACCAGAUCUUGCCAGAGUUUCACCUUCGCCGCUGGCAUUUACUGGUAUUUGUUGAGGUCAUCCUCGUCCUUGACCAGCGAGCGGCGAGUGGAUCCGGCGAGAGCGGGAAGGAAGCUAACGAGUGGUGGGAAGAAGAGGACCGUGCCUGGCUUGUCGAGCAGGAGUCUUGCCAACCCGGCAAGGAGAAGUGCACCAAGUGAGAGCGAAGGCUGUCUCGAAUGCUCUCCAUCUACCAAAGACCAGCAUUGUGCAUUGCCGCUUUCCCAGAAGUUUUCAUGCACAAAUAUAUACAAAUUAACAAAUUAAAUAUAUUC